Molecule: ribosomal RNA, 253 nt
Filed under: uncultured bacterium
Lineage: Bacteria
Description: partial 16S ribosomal RNA
Rfam family: Bacterial small subunit ribosomal RNA
Source: RNAcentral
UACGAAGGGGGCUAGCGUUGCUCGGAAUCACUGGGCGUAAAGGGCGCGUAGGCGGAUCUUUAAGUCGGGGGUGAAAGCCUGAGGCUCAACCUCAGAAUUGCCUUCGAUACUGGAGAUCUUGAGACCGGAAGAGGUAAGUGGAACUGCGAGUGUAGAGGUGAAAUUCGUAGAUAUUCGGAAGAACACCAGUGGCGAAGGCGGCUCACUGGCCCGGUACUGACGCUGAGGUGCGAAAGCGUGGGGAGCAAACAGG